GCCUUCGUGGUGUAGUGGUCAGCUCGCUCGACGCGUAACCGAGAGGUCCGUGGUUCGAUUCCCGGCGAAGGCG
Molecule: non-coding RNA, 73 nt
Organism: Stegodyphus mimosarum
Lineage: Eukaryota; Metazoa; Arthropoda; Arachnida; Araneae; Eresidae
Source: Rfam